RNAcentral lists this ribosomal RNA (354 nucleotides) under uncultured bacterium. RNAcentral's name for it is "bacterial SSU rRNA". It matches the Rfam family "Bacterial small subunit ribosomal RNA", at positions 527 to 881 of the family's 1533-position model. The record is from RNAcentral.
GAAGGGGGCUAGCGUUGCUCGGAAUUACUGGGCGUAAAGGGAGCGUAGGCGGACAUUUAAGUCAGGGGUGAAAUCCCAGAGCUCAACUCUGGAACUGCCUUUGAUACUGGGUGUCUUGAGUGUGAUAGAGGUAUGUGGAACUCCGAGUGUAGAGGUGAAAUUCGUAGAUAUUCGGAAGAACACCAGUGGCGAAGGCGACAUACUGGAUCAUUACUGACGCUGAGGCUCGAAAGCGUGGGGAGCAAACAGGAUUAGAUACCCUGGUAGUCCACGCCGUAAACGAUGAUUGCUAGUUGUCGGGAAGUUUACUUCUCGGUGACGCAGCUAACGCAUUAAGCAAUCCGCCUGGGGAGU